AGCAGCCGCGGUAAUUCCAGCUCCAAUAGCGUAUAUUAAAGUUGUUGCAGUUAAAAAGCUCGUAGUUGAACUUCGGGGUCUACCCAUUGGUCAGGCUUAAUUGUCUGCACUGGUGGGAUGGAUCUCUACCUUCUGAGGAACUUUCAUGCCAUUUAUUUGGUGUGAUGGGAAAUCAGGACUGUUACUUUGAAAAAAUUAGAGUGUUUAAAGCAGACUAUCGUCUGAAUACAUUAGCAUGGAAUAAUGAAAUAGGACGGACUGAUUCUAUUUCGUUGGUUUCUAGGAUCACCGUAAUGAUUAAUAGGGAUAGUUGGGGGCAUUAGUAUUCAAUUGUCAGAGGUGAAAUUCUUGGAUUUAUUGAAGACUAACUACUGCGAAAGCAUUUGCCAAGGAUGUUUUGCAUUAAUCAAGAACGAAAGUUAGGGGAUCGAAGACGAUCAGAUACCGUCGUAGUCUUAACCAUAAACUAUGCCGACUAGGGAUCGGACGAAGUUAAUUUUAUAAUGACGCGUUCGGCACC
RNAcentral lists this ribosomal RNA (520 nucleotides) under uncultured Diversispora. RNAcentral describes it as "SSU rRNA". It matches the Rfam family "Eukaryotic small subunit ribosomal RNA", at positions 569 to 1087 of the family's 1831-position model. The record is from RNAcentral. Lineage: Eukaryota; Fungi; Glomeromycota; Glomeromycetes; Diversisporales; Diversisporaceae.